GAAAGUGGGGGACCGCAAGGCCUCACGCUACAGGAGCGGCCGAUGUCUGAUUAGCUAGUUGGUGGGGUAAAGGCCCACCAAGGCGACGAUCAGUAGCUGGUCUGAGAGGACGAUCAGCCACACUGGGACUGAGACACGGCCCAGACUCCUACGGGAGGCAGCAGUGGGGAAUUUUGGACAAUGGGGGCAACCCUGAUCCAGCAAUGCCGCGUGUGUGAAGAAGGCCUUCGGGUUGUAAAGCACUUUUGUCCGGAAAGAAAUCGCUCUGGUUAAUACCUGGGGUGGAUGACGGUACCGGAAGAAUAAGCACCGGCUAACUACGUGCCAGCAGCCGCGGUAAUACGUAGGGUGCGAGCGUUAAUCGGAAUUACUGGGCGUAAAGCGUGCGCAGGCGGUUUUGUAAGACAGGUGUGAAAUCCCC
RNAcentral lists this ribosomal RNA (421 nucleotides) under Cupriavidus sp. RZ1MS5. RNAcentral describes it as "bacterial SSU rRNA". It matches the Rfam family "Bacterial small subunit ribosomal RNA", at positions 202 to 604 of the family's 1533-position model. The record is from RNAcentral. Lineage: Bacteria; Pseudomonadati; Pseudomonadota; Betaproteobacteria; Burkholderiales; Burkholderiaceae.